CCCUUAGAUGUUCUGGGCCGCAUGCGCGCUACACUGAUGCAUUCAACGAGUUUCUUCCUGGUCCGAGAGGAAUGGGUAACCUUUUGAAAGUGCAUCGUGAUAGGGAUAGACUAUUGCAAUUAUUGGUCUUCAACGAGGAAUUCCUAGUAGACGUAGUUCAUCAGACUGCAUCGAUUACGUCCCUGCCCUUUGUACACACCGCCCGUCGCUCCUACCGAUUGAAUGCUCAGGUGAGCCAUUCGGACUUUCAUCAUGCUGGUUUCCAGUUUUGAUGAAGGAAAGUCUUGCGAACCUUAUCAUUUAGAGGAAGGAGAAGUCGUAACA
RNAcentral lists this ribosomal RNA (324 nucleotides) under uncultured eukaryote. RNAcentral describes it as "partial 18S ribosomal RNA". It matches the Rfam family "Eukaryotic small subunit ribosomal RNA", at positions 1470 to 1796 of the family's 1831-position model. The record is from RNAcentral.